This is a long non-coding RNA of Taeniopygia guttata (zebra finch), 456 nucleotides long. RefSeq lists it as uncharacterized. The record is from RefSeq and is a predicted model, not a curated record. Lineage: Eukaryota; Metazoa; Chordata; Aves; Passeriformes; Estrildidae.
AUCGAGUCCAAUUCCAGGCCCUGCACAGGAUUCCCUGAGAGCCACACCAUGUGCCUGAGGGCGUUGUCCGAGUGCUCCUUGAGCUCUGCCAGCCGUGGGGCCGUGACCGCUUCCCUGAGGGGCUGUUCCAGUGCCCGACCACCCUCUGGGGGAAGAACCUCCUGACAUCCAACCUAAACCUCUCUGACACAGCUUUAUGCUGUUUUCUGAGUCCUGUCAGUGGUCACAGGAGUGAGGAGAUGAAUGCCUGCUCCGCUGUUUCCUCCCAUAAGGAUGUUGAACUUGAUCUUUUCAAGCCUCAAGGAUUCUGUGAUUAAUUAUUCAAAAUACACUGCCUUGAGAGGGACCAGUGAGGGAGAGCACUGAACGUGAUGAUGUGCCAACCUCUGCUGCGCUGGACUGAUAAUGGCUACUGUUUUCUGUCAGAGUCUACAGAGUUGAUCCAAAAGAUAAAAA